CAGCAGCCGCGGUAAAACGUAGGUGGCAAGCGUUGUCCGGAAUUAUUGGGCGUAAAGGGCUCGCAGGCGGUUCCUUAAGUCUGAUGUGAAAGCCCCCGGCUCGACCGGGGAGGGUCAUUGGAAACUGGGAAACUUGAGUGCAGAAGAGGAGAGUGGAAUUCCACGUGUAGCGGUGAAAUGCGUAGAGAUGUGGAGGAACACCAGUGGCGAAGGCGACUCUUUGGUCUGUAACUGACGCUGAGGAGCGAAAGCGUGGGGAGCGAACAGGAUUAGAGACCCCUGUAGUCCCUGUCUCUUAUAC
This 301-nucleotide ribosomal RNA is filed under the name uncultured bacterium. Its description in RNAcentral is "partial 16S ribosomal RNA". It matches the Rfam family "Bacterial small subunit ribosomal RNA", at positions 509 to 807 of the family's 1533-position model. The record is from RNAcentral.